Molecule: ribosomal RNA, 460 nt
Filed under: uncultured bacterium
Lineage: Bacteria
Description: partial 16S ribosomal RNA
Rfam family: Bacterial small subunit ribosomal RNA
Source: RNAcentral
CCUACGGGAGGCAGCAGUGAGGAAUAUUGGUCAAUGGACGAGAGUCUGAACCAGCCAAGUAGCGUGAAGGAUGACUGCCCUACGGGUUGUAAACUUCUUUUAUAGGGGAAUAAAGUAGGGUCUGCAUGCCUUUUUGUAUGUACUUUAUGAAUAAGGAUCGGCUAACUCCGUGCCAGCACCCGCGGUAAUACGGAGGAUCCGAGCGUUAUCCGGAUUUAUUGGGUUUAAAGGGAGCGUAGGUGGGUUGUUAAGUCAGUUGUGAAAGUUUGCGGCUCAACCGUAAAAUUGCAAUUGAUACUGGCAGCCUUGAGUACAGUUGAGGGAGGCGGAAUUCGUGGUGUAGCGGUGAAAUGCUUAGAGAUCACGAAGAACUCCGAUUGCGAAGGCAGCUCACUAAACUGCCACUGACAUUGAUGCUCGAAAGUGUGGGUAUCAAACAGGAUUAGAUACCCUAGUAGUC